UUAUAAGCUCCUUUUGAAGCUCUCCACCUUGCUUGGUUCUUCUAUGUGAGGUUGCACCAAAACCAGUAGUCAAACCAUAACUGUCUGUGCCCUUGCUCAUGCUGUCCAUGAUCCAGUCAGUGCUGGCUUUGACACCAGCUCGAGCCUCCUCUGACAGCUCCACCAUGACACCGACGUGACCGCUAGCAAUUGCGGUUACCUGGCCUAUGGUCAGGGUCUCACCUCCUAACUUGACCACAGGCUUCCUGUACUCCUCGAUCAUGCGCUUGACCUCAUCUAGGUGGCUUCCUUUUAGUGACUCUGCCGCCAUGCCCCAGUUCAAAGGGUCAUCAGUGUUAAAUCCUGGUGAACCAUUGCCAAUGCGUGAAUCUUGACAAAAUUCCAUUUUUUCUUGUAAAGUGAUGAUCGAUUGGUAUGAUCAAAGAGCAAAUGAGAGAGAAAAACGGAUGAGUAAGCCCAAAGAGUUUUCAGGUUACCCAAGAAUACUGAGUUUGUUCACCAACAUUUAGGUGCUUUAAAUAGAGAAGGAAGUAGCAUGCACUUAAGUGGGGUCCCGUAAUUGGGAGGAUUUCCUGUUCUUGUCAAAAAGAUAAAAGGUUGGGGAGAAGUGGCUCUAAUUCAUGUUAUUUAAUCAAUUAUUUUUGAGAAGAAAAGCAGAACAGGUGAAAGCCAGGGCCAAGUCACUGGCUGAUAUAAAGGAUAUAUAAAGCCAUAAUGAAGAAAAAAUCAACGAAUCCAGACAAAACCUACGAAGACAACAAGAAAAGGACACAUUUCUCAUCCUGAAAGUUUACCCAAAUCCUUCUCUCUUUCGAGAAGAAAAGCAGAGCAUGGUUUGAACCUGCUCUCAGUAGAGUUGUAAAAAACUAGGCGAGAAUUAAUCAAUUAAAUUUUAAGUUAAUUUAUUACCCGUCUUUGAUCCAUCCGAGUUAACCUUCGUAAUAUUUGUAAUGUGGAGCUCUUUAGCCAUUUCUUUUUUCCCAGACUCCAUUGAUUACUUGACAAUUCGAAAGCCAUUUUGGUUCUUUUUGUGCUUACCUUUACAUAUGUAGUCUAUCUCUUGGACGUUUCAUGCUUAAUUAAUUAAGGGAGUCUAUCUCUUGGACGUUUCAUGCUUAAUUAAUUAAGGGAGUGUUUUGUUUGGAGGUGGCUUUGGCUUUUUUGGUAGGAAUAAAAAAACAUGUAUUUUUAAUUUUUAAAAAUAUAAUUUAUAUUUUUAAAAAGUUAUAUUAAAAUUUUUUUUCUCACACCUUCAAGUCAAACACAUCCUGAAGUUGCGAACAUUGUACGAUGUUAUUUUUUUAAAAAAAUUGCAGCGAUCCCUUUGCCUGCAUGGUCUGCACACCACUGUUUCUUAUAGAAUGCAAAUCAGAACUACAGUUUGUUUUUAAUAAAUGUAUGGUAUUUCUCUUAUAUUAAUAAUUAAUAUUUUGAAACCUCGCAUCAGAAUUCAACAGAGUCCAGCAAUUGCAAACAAAAAAUAAUAAUGCAGAGAGAAGAAAAAACUUUAGCCCAUAAGCAUCCAUGGAUUCACAUUCGUGUAUCCAUCGUCAUUAUUUCAUAGGUCGCUAUCAAGCUUGCUAGCAAGAUAUAUUAAAUAGAUUUAUCGGGUAUCUGUAAGAGACACUCCUAAUCUUUAAUUAUUAUCUCCUGUGCUAAAAGAACCGGGAUAAAAAGAACAAUAAAGGUGUUGCUCCCUUUUUUGUCUUUUUCUUCUAAUUCAUCUUUCAUUUUUUUAUUGGUUUAGGCUCCGUUUGUUUGCUAGAAAAUAAUUUCGUUUUGGAAAGUGAAUUUCGAGGAAAGUGAAUUCUAGAAAAGUAAAUUUCGAGAAAGUAUUUUUCAAUGUUUGAUAGUAUAAUGAAAAAUGAGUUGGAAAAUAUUUUCCAGUGUUUGGUUAUGUCAUGGGAAAUGAGCUGGAAAAUAACUUAUUAAUAUUUUAUUUUUAUCAAGUUUAUUAAAAUAAUGAUGAAUAAAUCUUACAAAUUAAAAAGUUGAAUGAGAAUGAAAUUGAAAAAAAAUAAUUUCAUAAGUUAUUUUAAAUAAAAUAAAUAAUAAUCAAAAUAAUAGAGAUUAAAUCUAAAAAAUUAAAAAAAAAAAAUGAAGAAAUUAAAAUAAUAAUAAUCAACAUUUCAUAAAUUAUUUCAAAUAAAAUAAGUAACAAUCAAAAGAAUGAAGACCAAAUUUGAUAGAUAAAAAAUUUCAAUAAAAAUAUGAUAAGGAAAAAGCAAAUAGCAAUUAUAAAAAUAAGGACCAAAGUUAAUAUAAAAAUAAAAUUUUAAGAGAUGAAAUUGAAAAAUAAAUAUUCAAAACAAAAUAUAUAUAGCAAUCAAAAGUUUGAGGAUCAAAUUUGAUAUAUUCAGCAAAUAAUAACAUUUGUAAUUUUUUCACAACUUCCGGAAAGUGUUUUCCUCCCAAAUUUUUCAAGAAAACACUUUCCUGAAAAUCAAGCUAAAUUUUUCUUUUACUAGAAAGCGUUUUUCAUUGAUCAACUUUCCUACUGGCAAACAAACACAAGAAAGUUUGGAAAGUGAUUUCCCGGAAACCACUUUCCAGAAAACAAACACAGCUAAAGGGAAAACACUUUUCUGAAAACCAAAUCAAAUUUUUCUUUGACUGAAAUUGACCGGAAAAUAUUUUUCGUUGACCGGAAAAUGUUUUCUGUUGACUAACUUUUUUAAUGACAAACAAACACAGGAAAGUUUGGAAAAUAGUUUCCUAAAAAAAAUUAAUAUAUGUUUUAUGAAAUCUCUACUCACAAAUAGCCAUUAAAAAACAAUUAAUUUAUGUGUUUUAUGCUAGCUGGAUUAUUCGCUCGAUCCCCCCCCCCCCAAAAAAAAAAAAACAAAUAUAUGGAAAAAUGUUGGAUUCAAACAUGAAAACUUAGAUACUUAGCUAGAUCCUUUUCUAUUAAUAUAUAAUAUUCUAGAAUAGCCUUGCCUGAUCUUCCAAAGAAUCACGCGUACAAACCAAUUCAAAGCAACUAGUUUAAGGUUUGCUGUUUGAGAAAGAAAUAUAUAUCUUAAUUACAUGUUUCCAUGAUCAAUUCAGCAUUACAUGUGUUAUGAUCAUUAACCUCUUGAAAAAAAUCGAUUGCCUUUUCUUUUAUGGUGUUAAUGGACGAUUGCUCGUAAUAAAGUCUUUAAUACAAGCAAUCGUAAUAAAAAAAGAUAGAAAAAAACAUAUUUAUAUGAAGAUAAAUUUACGUAAAUUAAAUAAAUAUGCCUAUAUGGUAACAGUUUUUAAAAUAAAUUUAUAUAUUUUCAAAAACAAAAAAUAUAUAAAAAUAAGUAUAUCAUAUCUCUAUUAUUUAAUUUUAUCUUUUUUUUCUUCAAGUGUCGAAACAAAAAACUACCAAGAGUUCAAGUUGUGUGGCUAUAGUUGAUGGCACAAUUCUUCUAACAACGUAUGAGCGUACUCAUGAGUCAUGAUCACAAGCGAAGUACCAAGUGUAGUGUUUAAUUUUUCCACGUUAAUUUCCUGUUGUUCUUCCUGUUGUUUCUUCUCAUCACUGUUGAUCGUAAACUGAGAUUUGCAGUCAACCAUUGACAAGGUUGAGUGCUUCAAACACGCGCUGUUCUUGAUGAAUAUUGUUGACAGUACAGACCACUCGUGAACUUUAAGCCUAGAUCAUAAAAAAGAAAUAUUAAUAGAAGAACAUGCUUAUAUUUAUUAAAAUAAAAGAAAUGUAACAAUUUAAUUGAAAAUAUAUAAUAUGUAUUUGUUUUUUACGAGUAGACAUUUAAGUGAUUGAGUCUUACAAUCCAAUAACUCUAAUUUUUUAAUAAUUACCUAACUUGGAGAUGUCUCUUCAAACAAAAAGAAAAAACUAUGAAAUAUCCUUUUCAGACCAGCAGAACAAGACCGGCGGCAUUGACAACACAUUUAUCAUUUAUUUUUAUAUUGUAAAAGUAUUUUAAAAAAAAUUAAAUUUUUCAAACAAUUAUAUUUUACAAACAAAUGGGAAAAUUACAAAAUUACUCUGAUGAAAGACAGCGGCCUAGUUCUUUCUUUUCAAACAAAGGGGAAAAUUACAAAAUUACUCUGAUGAUGAUGAUAAUGUGGUUUUUUUUUUCACUUUACAAUUAAUUUUUCAACAAUUAUAUUUUACACCUUUAAUUUUUAAGAGUGUGGAAAAUACUUUUUAUCCUGAAGUGUUGAUGCCAAAAACAAAUAUCAAUAAAAAUUAUUUAUCAAUUUAUAAAAAUAUCAUUGUACUUUAAAUAAUAACUAAGAAAAUUUUUGAAAUCUAGAAAUAAUAAAAAUAUCAUUGCGUUUCUUUUCCCUUCUUACUAUUUUUUUAAAUUAAUAUUUUUUAAAAUAUUUUUAGAUUGAUAUAUUUAUAUUAAAAAUAUUUUAAAAUAAUAAUUAUAAAAAACAUUCAACGUUACAUGUCCCAAAAUUCAAAGAUCUUCUAUCUUAAAAAACCCAUCACUUUCCUCAAAAUGCCCGAACACAUCUACCAAAUAGAACGGAAGAUGUCUGUUUUAAUUUAUGGUUUGAAAGUGUUGGUAUGAUUAUUUUUUCGUGUAUAAAUUUGGACUAUAAUGAUUACUUUUUUUCGAAAAAGUCGUUGUGGUUCUAAUUUUUUUUUUCGUGUAUAGAUUUGAUGGUAGUAACACGAUGCCUGUUUAAGUAUUAUUUGAUAGCGUUGGUAUGAUUAUUUUUUAAAAUAAUUUUUAUAUUUAAAAUAAUAUUAUAAAAAUUUAAAGCUUUUAGAAAUUAUAGUUGAGCGGCUGCUUUUCAAAAUGUUUUUUACUUGUAAAUAUAUUAAAAUAAUUUUUAUUUUAUUUUUAAAAAAUUAUUUUUAAUAUGAGCGUAUUAAAAUAAUCUAAAAAUACUAAAAAUAUAUUAAUUUAAAAUAAAAAAAAUUAUAUUUUUUUUAAAAAAAAAUUUUAAAAUAUAAAAAUAAAUAAUACCUAAUCUGAAUCUCAUUUAAUCAUGGCCCUUGGAAUUUCUUCAGUCCAAUAUCGGAAGUGAUUUUAAAUACCAUUUUAGAGAAAGAAAUGGUCUUUUAACACUGCUUCGUGCAAUUUUUUAAUGUAGAUAAAAAUAAAUAAACCUAUGAAAUCAUUGACAAGUUCAUUGAUCUCGGACUCCGAAAAUCUUUAAGAUUUGCAGCUCAAACAAGUUAAUUGAACUAGUUUGACCUCAAAUAAAAAAUGUGUUAUUUAAUAAGGGCACUAGUAGUUUGUUUUUAGAGACUCUGCCGCCAUGUCCCAGUUCAAAGGGUCAUUAGUGUUAAAUCCUAGUGAACCAUUGCCAUUGCGUGAAUCUUGACAAAAUUCCAUUUUUUCGUUAAGUUGCGAGGCACUAAAUGUAUUUAGGAAUUUUCAGGCUACUCCUGGGUUUGUUCACGAAAAUUUAGGUGUUUUAAGAGCGUGUUUGUCAGUGUGGUAGCGGUUUUUUUUUAAAUAACUUUUCGUGUCGAAAUACAUGUCAAUGAUGUUUUUUUAUUUUUAAAAAAUUAUUUUUGAUAUCAGCACAUCAAAACGAUCCAAAAAGUACAAACCACACUUAAUUUUAAUAAAUUUUUUUUUUUUGAAAUUUGACGAAAUGCAGGUUGAAAAGUGUAUGUGGCCGUUGGAUCAUCAUGGGAUUCAAUGGGUGGGAUUGUGACACUUGGGAUGUUGUGGUAAGUAGCAUGCACUUAAGUGGUGAAUUUUCAUCGUGAGUGCAUGGUAAAUCCAAGAAUCAUGGCGGCUGGAUCAAUGCCAGGCAAAAAUAUUAUAGAAGAAAACUCAAGUAAAAUUUAUUAGUUGUAAUCACGUGCUUCUUUUGGCUAGUCCUACUGAGAUCUACUUAAUUGGGUGUUAAAACGGCCUCAACAGUGGGCUUGAUGGCUAAAUUUAGAAGAAAAAAACGUUAUUAAAAUAAUAUUUAUGGGGACCGAGCUGAGAUUACUUGAUAGGGCAAAACUCAAGAUAUAAUUUGUUAUUAGAAAAUCCAUCUAUUUAAAAUAAAAAAAUAGUAUAAUAUUAUUCUAUAUUCAAACAUUAAAUAAUAAAAAAAUCCAAAAUCUUUGACAAUUUAAAUCGAACGUCGGGUUUGAACAAGUGAAAGCCAGGGCCAAGUCACUGGCUGAUAUAUAGGAUAUAAAGCCAUAAUGAAGAAAAAAUCAACGAAUCCAGACAAAACCUACGAAGACAACAAGAAAAGGACAAAUUUCUCAUCCUGAAAGUUUACCCAAAUCCUUCUCUCUUUCGAGAAGAAAAGCAGAGCAUAGAGAGCCACCUUUAUUAAAAACCCUGCUUGCCCCAUAGUUUGAACUAGGCGAGAAUGAGAAUUAAUCAUUUAAAUUUUAAGUUACCUGUCAAGUUAAUUUAUGAUCCAAACCCUAUUUUUUUUUCUUCAAAGCAACUAGUUUAAGGUUAGCUGUUUGCAUGAGAAGGAAACACAGUUUACAUGUUUCCCAUGAUCAAUUCAGCAUUACACGUGUUAUGAUCAUUAACCUCUUGAAAAAAACCGAAUGCCUUUUCUUUUUAUGGUGUUAAUGGACGAUUGCUCAUAAUAAAGUCUUUAUUAUGAGCAAUCGUAAUAAAAAAGAUAGAAAGAAACAUUUUUAUUUACACAAAUAAAAUAAACAUGUCUCUAUGGUAACAGUUUUUAAGAUAAAUUUAUAUAUUUUUAAAACAAGAAAUAUAUGAAAUUAUGUAUAUCAUAUCUCUAUUAUUUUUAUCUUUUACUCCCAGUAUCGUGAGGUUCCUGGUAGAUAUCCAGCAGCCUGCAUCAAUAAAAAAAGAUACAUCAGUGUAGAACACCACGGUGCACAUAUUCUUUAAGAAAAUGUAAGAAAAAGAAGAAAAUAGUAGCCAGGAGUUGUUGUGGUUAGACCACCGGGUCAUGUUCACCACCAAACACAGCCGUGGUUCUCAUCCAAGGAGGGUAGGUGAAGACAAUGAGAAAAUCAUAGAGAUCAAGCUUACUGCUUUACUUAACUUGUUGCACUCUUGGACAAUGAGAAAACCAGGAGUUGUUGUGGUUAGACCGGGUCUUAUUCUCCUCUGAGUUUUUCUCCAGAUUCAGAAUAGAAUAAUGAUUAAGAUAAACGUGACUGGGCUGCUGCUCGUAGUGGAGAGGGUAGGUGAACACAAUGAGAAAAGCAGGGGUCUCUCCAGCACAGCUUGGAAACAGAGGCGCAACUCUCAUACUGUGUAGGACUUGUAGCAAGACAACAACCAUGUGCCUCUUAGAGGACACUCGAGACAGUGACUUGAAUGAUCUCUAACGAGCAUUUGGACUAACAACUCGAGUGUUCGCUGUCACUGGUUUGAACAAAGGUUUUGGCUGUGUUCAUCUAGUUAACGAGGAAGAUGCUCGGAGAGAGCCAUCGACAAUCUCAUGGAUAUGGCUAUGAUAAUCUCGUCCUCAGAGUUGAGUGGUCUGCACCUCGCUGGAUCAAAGUAGAUGAAAUUCCUCAAUCAGAAAGUUUUAGUUCUAGUGCUUUAAUUAUGUUCGUUUUUUUUUUUUUGCAGCAUGCUAGCUUUUGCGAAGAGAUAGGUGUUGCCCUCAUCAACCGCUCCUCGUUUCUUCGUCAAUAAAGACAAGAGAAAGAAAGGAAAAAGGUGGUGAUAAAUAUUUUACCAGACGGGUUUACGCCAUGUCUCAACAAAAAUAGAAAGAUAACUGACUCGGUAUAACUUGGUUAGGAUAAAAAACGAUACUUUUUAGUUGACAGACAUCAAUAAAAUAAUAUUAUUCAUUAACUGAAAAUAUUAAAAUUUAAACAUGACAUCAUUAAUUUUAAAAACUAAAAUAAUAUUAUUUUGGUAAAUAUCUUUUUCAAAAAAAAAAUAUUGAAAUUCACCCAUUCUAUUCUCAUCUAAUUUUAUGUAGUCAUUUUAAUAUUCAAAACAGCUCAAAAUAAAAAUUAACUAUAUAAAAUAAUAAAUUAUCCAAUUGAUCUAUGAAAUUGGAUCGAAAUUCUUCAACAAUAUACAUUUAAAACACAUACUUGUAUAGAAUUUGAAUUAACUAUAGUUUCAUUGUUUUGAAACCUAGUGAACUUCGAAUUUUCAGUGUCCUCGUAUUAAUUAAACUCUAAAAGUUUCAGGUGGCCAUCAACAGUUGAGGUGGCGCUACGUGGCCUCGUGUGAGAUGCCCCUCCCUUAGUCACUCUAGUAUAAGCUAGCCCUGAUUAUUUUGGAUGGGCUGGGCCUAUAUGGAUUUAAAUUAGAAUAUGUCAGACUCUCCAAUAUCAUUAGAUUAAUCACUCUUUUUUUAGCUUAGCUUCUCGAUCUAUGUUAACUGGAAAAAAGACGUUUCUUUGUUUUUUUUUUUUGUAUAUUAUAAUUAUAUAAAAAAAUAUCCUGUGAUUUUCUUAAAUGAUUAUAUAUAUUUAUAAUUAUUAUUUUUCCAUACUUGUACAAGUAAAAUACAUAGCAAAGUCUAUUUUGACAGCAGAUCCAUUGUAUCCUUAAAUUUCAAAUUCAAUUAUUGAAUUUGUACCUGAUCAAUAUUUCUCCACCUUUUCAGGUAAGUUUGGUUUUUUAUUUUUUAUUUUUUUGCAGUGGUUACCAAGAAAAAAAAGAGUAAAAUUUGGUAAGUGUGGUAUUAUGAAUAUGAUCGCAGUUUCAAGUGGGUUUUUAUCUCACUAUUAACAUGCAUUGUCAAGAAAUCAUGAACAUGACAAGACAACCCUUUAUGAACAAGAACAUUAACUAUUCUAAAAAAUAAAAUCCCUAACGAUUAUAUAUUUGUAAAACCAAAAAGGUAAUCUUGCUUGCAAAUUUAUUAGAUUUAAAUGCAACUAAAGAGCUUAAGAUUUUGGCUUAAAUCAUUUGAAACCUGUAUUGCUAGGCAUUUGAGUGGUAGUGUAUAGAAAUUAGACAAAAAAAAAACUUAUCUUUUUUUAUUUAGGAUGAUGCCUUUGCUCUUGUCCAAAGAAAUAUUCUUUAAUGAUUUCAAAGUAAAUAGAAAACAUAGACAUACAGUUUGCAUGUUACGUGCAAAUUGACUUGGCAAGUAAGCUUAGUAAGAAAAAAGAAAAAGAUGAUUACAAGACAACCAUGGCUUAGCAAAUAGGAAGAGGAGCACCAUCCCAUUCCUUCAAGCAUUCCAGCAAGGGAUCGAUUAACUUUCCUGCACAGAUAGCUGUGAAAACCUUGUCGAACUCCUCGCCGGGCGAUUUGACCUUCUCACCUGUUAGCAAACUAGUUCUCAAUUCUUCCCUCACAAACUUGUACAGGGGGUAUGACCUGCAUUCUUUGAUCCUGUUUGGAAUAGCUGGAUUUCCAUUCUCAACUUCAAGUCUAGCACUCUCCACUUCUUUAGGCAAAAGGAUCUUCAGUUCUUCCUCAAAAGAUCCGAUCUUUUGGAAAAUCGAAGUGGUUGAAUUCCUUUCCUUUUCGCCAUUCACCAAGGCAUGCUCGACUAGUACUUGCCUUAGCUUUUGCAUUAAUGGAUAGGUUGCACUGCAAGGAUCGUCAAUAUAGAAAAAGACAUGCUCUCUGUCAACAACCUUGAGCAAGUCUUUUUCACAGAAUCUUGAAGGGUGAAGCUCGCCAUUGAAGCCCAUUGUCAAGACUCUCUUGGCAACUUGGCUGAUAGUGUUCUUGACUGUGUUCUUCAGGUUCUCCUCUAUGUGCCUCAAGUCAACGGCCUGGCAUAGACCAACCAAGAAAGUGGUGGACAUGAGCUUCAAUAUGUCAAUAGCUUCAGCUGUUUUUCUUGAAGAAAUCAAGCCUAGGGAGUUGACAUCUUGGUUGUGUUGCUCAGCACUUUGGACAUGAUUGGUGACAGGAUUGGCAAGGAAUUGGAGCUCCGAGCAGUAAGAUGCCAUGGCAAUUUCAGCACCUUUGAACCCGUAAUCCAAGCUUGGAUUGCGGCCACCAGUGAGGUUUGAAGGCAAUCCAUUGUUGUAGAAGUCGUUAACAAGUUCAGAGAAUUGUGCAAACAUGAGUUUGCCAAUGGAAGCAAUGGCCAAACGAGUGUUGUCCAUUGAAACACCAAUAGGGGUCCCCUGGAAAUUCCCUCCAUGUAGAGCCUUAUUCCUCGACACGUCAAUCAAAGGAUUGUCAUUGACAGAGUUGAUUUCUCGUUCGAUCAUUUUCGUUGAUGUUCUAAUCACUUCAAUCAGAGGGCCUAGCCAUUGUGGAGAUGUUCGAAGAGCAUAUCGGUCUUGUUUAGGUUUUUGUAGAGGAUCGAUCUCAUGUAACUUCUGAGCUUCUUUAACAUAGGCGCUGCCAUCUAAAAUAUGUUCCAUGAUGGCGGCAGCUUCAAUUUGGCCAGGAUGAUGCUUCAAUUUAUGUGUCAGGUGAUCAGUAAACUCAGGUUUUCCUUGCAUGACUUCAGCAAAGAUUGCUGACAAAACUUCUGAUAGGAUUGCCAACACAUUAGCCUCAAAAAGCACCAUUGAAGCUAGACCGGAACCCACUGCAGUACCAUUCACUAGCGCUAGACCUUCUUUCGGCUGUAACUCAAAAAAGCCGCCAACAAUCCCAGCUUGUGUAAAGGCUUCAGCAGAGCUCAGGGGCUCUCCAUUGGGUCCAACUGCCUUUGAAUUAGGCCUGCCUGUCAAGAGCCCAGCAAUGUAGGACAAUGGGACAAGGUCACCAGAGGCAGUGAUUGUUCCUCUCAAUGGCAAACAUGGGGUGAUGUUGUGGUUGAGCAGCUUGGUGAUCGCUUCCAACAUCUCAAAUCUUAUGCCCGAAUAACCUUGAAGCAGGGUGUUGGUUCUGACCAACAUAGCUGCCCUGGUUGCUGAGUGAGACAAUGUAUGGCUAGACUCCGUGCCAUUCCCAAAGAUACCGGCAUUUAAGAACCUAGUGAAAUAAAAUCCCAUAAACCACAUUAGGAACAACCUUAAUUGGAAAAAAAAAUUAGUUGAGAAGUUUUUUUGGUAAUAGAAUUUUGAAUUAGUUAUUCUUGCAAGAACCUCAGCGAAGUGUAGGUGACAAUUUGUAACCAAAAAAUGUUACUAGCAGCUAGGAUAGUUUCUUGCACUCUUUCUUAAGAUUGGCAAACCAUAAUUAACGAAGUAAAUUACAAGUAAUUAAUGAUGUUUACCGUCCGGGACACUAGACUUUUUCUCUUUGAAUAUUUUUUAUUUGAUGGUUAAAUAACACAAUACGAGUCAAGUCAACUUGGAAAUAUACACAAAGUAAAACUUUUUAUUUGAAAUUCAGGCACCUAAAUGAUCUUUGAUACGUAAUUUAAAUAUAAUUAGGCCGGUUGGAAAUAUUCAACCCUUUAUAAUAGUUUAUUUCACUGCUGUAAUCUGAUCACCUACCUACCACAUCAUCUCUCUCUCUUUUUUUUUUUUUUGUCCUUGCUGGACUUCCACUUACAGCCUACCAACCUAACAAUAACAAGUUAACAAGACUUCUGAUGAAACGUGUGCGUGCUAAUUUCAGGCAUUUUCCAGGAGAGUGAAGGAGCAUAAGUUAAGGCUCACAUGCACUUGUGGUAUCUUCCUCCCUAACAAAAACUCCUCUUUUUUUUCUGUCUCUAAAAGACAUUGGUUGUUUUUUCCUGGGAAAUAUGAAUACUAACAAGCCAACAAUCCCCUAUUUAAAGUAACAAAUUAACAAUAUCAUGGAAUAAAAAAAAAACUGCUUGAUAUAUACAGUAAUAUAAAAAGCUACCUUACUAGCAGUUAAGAUACAAGUAAAGUAAAUUUUGGGAUUUGUCAUGAGUUUGAUUACCUUAUAAGCUCCUUUUGAAGCUCCCCACCUUGCUUGGUUCUUCUAUGUGAGGUUGCACCAAAACCAGUAGUAACACCAUAACUGUCUGUUCCCUUGCCCAUGCUGUCCAUGACCCAGUCACUGCUGGCCUUGACACCAGCUCGAGCCUCCUCUGACAACUCCACCAUGACACCAACGUCACGGCUAGCAAUUGCAGUUACCUGACCUAUGGUCAGGGUCUCACCUCCUAACUUGACCACAGGCUUCCUGUACUCCUCGAUCAUGCGCUUGACCUCAUCUAGGUGGCUUCCUUUUAGUGAGUCUGCCGCCAUGCCCCAGUUCAAAGGGUCAUUAGUGUUAAAUCCUGGUGAACCAUUGACAUUGCGUGAAUCUUGACAAAAUUCCAUUUUUUUCCUGUAAAGCUAUGAUCCUCUAUGCCAAAAUGGAGGAGAGACAAAAAAAGAGUGAUGGAUGGAUUGGUAUGAUCAAAGAUAAAAUGAGAGAGAAGAACGGAUGUGCGAGCACAAAGAAUAUUCUGGCGUAAAAAAUUAUAUGAGGGUUGUAUAGUAAAAAACAAAUUGAAGUUGCGAGGCUCUGAAUGUAUGUAGGAAUUUUCAGGUUACCCAAAAAUCCUGAGUUUUUUCACCAAAAUUUAGGUGCUUUAAAUAGAGAAGAAAGGAGGGGCAGGCAGGUAGAGGGUGGGUUGGGUUGGCCGAUGUGUUAGUUGAAAAGUGUACGUGGCCGUUGGAUCAUCGUUGUAUUCAAUGGGUGGGAUUGUGACACUUGGGAUGCUGUGGUAAGUAGCAUGCACUUAAGUGGGGUCGCAUAAUUGGGAGGAUUUCCUGUUCUUGUCAAAAAGAUGGAGGGUCGGGGAGAAAUGGGGUUGGUUGAGAAGUGGCACAUCAGCACUUACGUCAUGGCUCUAAUUCGUAUUAUUUAAUCAAUGAUUUUUCUGCCAUGAAAUUUAAAUCACCAUAUCUACCUAUGUUUUCCUUCCAUAAAUGGCAGAGGGAAUUAUAACGAUCGACGGUGUCUGGAUAUCAUGAACACAUCCAUGCAUAUAUUUACUUGAAAAUAGUAAAAAAUCCAUUUUUUCUCUAUUUAUCAUUGAUUUUGUUAGUCAUUUUCCUUUUAAAAAAUAAAUAGAGAUAAUUAUAUAUCAUGAGAUAUUUACGGAUUGUUUUGAAUUUCUACAGUUUCUCUUUUAUUUCUUAUAAAACUUCCCGUCAUCCUAGCUUUCAAGUUGAUGCAAGCUAUUGGACUUGGGCAUUGUUAAUUUCUAACUCGGCCUUGGUGUUAGGUAUUUUUUUUUUUAUAUCAAUUAUAUUAAGUUGUGAAUUUUCAUUGCCAGUGCAUGGUAAAUCCAAGAAUCAUGUCGGCUGGAUCAAUGCCAGGCAAAAAUAUUAUAGAAUAUUAUUUGGUGUUCCGGUUCAACCGAUCUGGAGAAUUUAUGUCAGAUAUAAUUAAGGAUAGUUAGGGUUUUUUCUUACAAGUGAAAGCCGGGACCAAGUCACUGGCUGAUAAUAGAGCCAUAAUGAAGAAAAAAAAUCAAAGAAUAAAAAAAAAACGCCUACGAAGACAACAAAGAAAAGGAUAUAUUUACAUUUGAGGGUCUAGUCCAUUGAUCAAUUGCAAGACUUGUCUUUGCGAACGUCCUAGGUUCGAACCUUAAGAGUACCAACCUGUUACCCCCGCGGUGCCUUACCUGCCUACCGGGCUUGCAGGAUGUUCAGUAGGUCCUGUGAUUAGUUGUGGUGCGCGCGCGCAAACUGUCCCGGACACCCAGGGUCAUAAAAAAAAAAAAUAUAUUUCUCAUCAAGGUUUGCCCAUAUCCUUCUCUCUUUUGAGAAGAAAAGCAGAGCAUAGGGAACCACCUUUAUUAAACCCCGCUUGCCCUAUAGUUUGAAUUCCUGCUCUAAGUAGAGUUGUAAAAAACUAGGGGAGAAUUAAUCCAUUUCUUAUCCUUUUCAUUUUAAUUCAGUCUAUUUUCGGUUAUUAAUGUGAAACUUUUCGUUUUGAAUUCUUUAUCCACAUGAUCACAAUUAAGAAAUUUAUGACAAAUCUAUUUCUUAUCCUUCACGUAACAUUUGAACUAUAGUGUUAUUAAAAUGAUAAAAUCUAUCCAAGCUAGCUGGUUGACCUGAAAACUGUCUUGGACUGGGUGUAAAAAGACCAGGCAAGAAAUGAUCUAGUCAAAUAUAAAACGUCCAAGAGCUAGUCAAAUAUGACCCGAUCAAAAUAAAAUUUAAUUUUUUUAAAAUAAAAAUAAAAUAAUAUUAUUUUUAUAAAGUUAACUAGUAACAAGAAAAGCUGGAAGCAUUCAACUCAUGGCCGGCCGUUCUUCAUUUGUAAUGUGGAGCACUUUAGCCAUUUCUUUUUCCCAGACUCCAUUGAUUACUGGACAAUUUGAAAGCCAUUUUGGUUCUUUUUUUUUUUGCAUACCUUUACAUAUGUAGUCUAUCUCUUGGACGUUUCAUGCUUAUAAUUAAGGACCUGCGCGUGGAACCUUGUACGAAUUUUUUUUUAAAUUUUUUUGCAGCGAUCCCUUUGCCUGCAUGGUCUGCACACCACUGUUUCUUAUAGAAUGCAAAUCACAAUUACAGUUUGUUUUUAAUAAAUGUAUGGUAUUUCUAUUAUUUUAAUAAUAUUUUGAAACCUCGCAUCAGAAUUCUACACAGUCCAGCAAUUGCAAACAAAAAAUAAUAAUGCAGAGAGAAGAAAAAACUUUAGCCCAUAAGCAUCCAUGGAUUCACAUUCGUGUAGCCAUUGUCAUUAUUUCAUAGGUCGCCAUCAAGCUUGCUUGCUUGCUAGCAAGAUAUAUUAAAUAGAUUUUUCGGGUAUUUGUAAGAGACACUCCUAAUCUUUAAUUAUUAUCUCCUGUGCUAAAAGAACCGGGAUAAAAAGAACAAUAAAGGUGUUGCUCCCUUUUUUGUCUUUUUCUUUGAAUCCAUCUUUUAUUUUUUUAUUGAUUUUUUUAAUUCUUUAAUAUUUAAACUUAUUCUCGUAAUUUAUUUCAAAUUAUUUCUAUUUUUAUUCAUGUUUAAUUUUAAAAAUACUUAUUUUUAUUAUUACAUAGUUAAAAUAAAAUUGUUAAAUUCAAUAGAGUUUAUGAUCUAAUUUACAGGUUUAACAAAUUAAUUUAUAAAAUUUAGAUAAAUUUAAUAUAUUAUCAUUUUAAUUUUUUAAAAAAUAUUAAUUUAAAUUUAUAUUUUAAAAAUCAAACCAUAUUUAUCCAAUAUCAUUUGGUUAAUUUUAAACACGAGCCAGUCAAAUAAUUACUGGUUAACGUUUACUUUUAGGGUUUUGAUAGGUUGGGUUCUUACAUUUCUUGUACUUGCAAAUUCCUCUUGUUCUCACCAACUUCCCAUUUUAUUUUUUAUUUUAUUGUGGUUGGUAGGGUGCUGCCAUUGAAGUCUUCUUUGCCCCCACCUCCUCCUCAUCCACUAUAAUUUUCCUAAAUAUCUCUACGUACUGAUCGAAGUUUAUUUAUCUCAAACAAUAUAAAUCGUUUUCUAAUUAAUUUGACUUUAAUGUUGAUUCUAUGACGCUAGCUGAUUAUUUAUGCCAAGUAUGGUGUGCUGUCGCAAUCCUAGUGCCAGUAAUUACAGUGCCAUCUGAUCAAUAUUAUUUAGGCUAUGUUUAUUUUUUAUUUUGAAAGUGCUUUUAAAGAUUUUUUUAAUUAUUUUUUUAAUGUUUUCAAAUUAAUUUGAUGGGCUAAUAUCAAAAAUAAUUUUUAAAAAAUAAAAAAAUCAUUAUUUUGAUAUAUUUUCUAAAAAAAAACAUAUUUAUAUGAAGAUAAAUUUAUGUAAAUAAAAUAAAUAUGCCUAUAUGGUAACAGUUUUUAAAAUAAAUUUAUAUAUAUUUUCAAAACAAGAAAUAUAUGAAAAUAAGUAUAUAUCAUAUCUCUAUUAUUUAAUUUUAUCUUUCUUCUUCAAGUGUCCUAACAAAAAACUACCAAGAGUUCAAGUAGUGUGGCUAUAGUUGAUGGCACAAUUCUUCUAACAACGUAUGAGCAUACUCCUGAUCACAAGCAAAGUACCAAGUAUAGUGUUUAUUUUUUCCACAUUAAUUUCUUGUUGUUCUUCUUCCUGUUGUUUCUUCUCAUCACUGUUGAUCAUAAACUGAGAUUUGCAGUCAACCAUUGACAAGGUUGAGUGCUUCAAACACGCGCUGUUCUCGAUGAAUAUUGUUGACAAUAUUGACCAAUUUAGCAAGUCCAAGAAUGACAAAAGCUGACAGUGAGGAUUUCGUUUUUAUUUCUUAGACGUGAGGUUCCUGGUAGAUAUCCAGCAGCCUGCAUCAAUUAAAAAAGAUACAUCAGACUAUCAGAGUGGAGAACACCACAGUGCAUAUAUUCCUUAAGAACAUGUAAAAAAAAAAGGAAAAUAGUAGCCAGGAGCUGUUGUGGCUAGACAGACGGGUCUUGUUCACCACCAACCACAGUUGUGGUUCUCAUCCAGGGAGGGUAGGUGAAGACAAUGAGAAAAUCAUAGCGAGAUCAAGCUUACAGGCUUUAAUUAAUUUGUCAAACUCUUGGAUAAGCUACAUGUGUGGUUGGUGAGAGCCUCACUCCAUGCACAUAAUAUGGUCAAAGUGAAAUUAGUCAAGCUUAUUUUUUGGUCAAUUAUUGAAUAAAAUCGUUGGAUAAGCUACAAUGUUAGAUAUUUUUAAUUUUUAAUAUUAGUAUAUUAAAAAUUAAGUUUGUCUUCUCUUUUUGGUUUACAGCCAAAAUAUUUUUCUCCUCUGAUUUUUUCUCAAAAUUCAGAAUAGAAUAAUGAUUGAGAUAAACGUGACUGGGCUGCUACUCGUAGUGGGGAGAGAAAAGAUCGAAAGUGAAGGUUGUUGAUGUGGCUGGAUGAAAAGUAUGUGGUGGUGCCGUUAAAAUUAAAAUCAAGCCACAACCCUUAAUUUGAAAUUAAAAACCCUAAUUUGAAAUGAAAAGUAUGAUAAUGGAUGAAAGUUGUAUCUCUAUGAGUGUAGGUGAAUUUGGGAAUUUUGAAUUGCUUGAUUUCGAUAUCAAAAGCUCAUAAUAUUUCUGUUUGAAUAUCUAACGUGAAAGUAGAAAAUUCUGCCGCGAAAAUACUCCUGACUCGAGUUUUGCACUAAAGACUCUAUUUCCAUCAUAAAUUUUAUUGAUUUGUUCUUAGAUCAUACUUUCAGUCAUAUAAGGAUGCUCGACAUUAUCAGUUUCUGAAUUAGAUUAGGCUACCCUUUUUGACCAACCAGAUUACUGCUAGAUUCUGUUAUCUAAAAAGAUUUUAUCUCACUUUGAAUCCUUCAUUAAAGUUAUAGUCCUAGACGUGUAGAUAAAUUUGGGCUUUUGAAUCACUUGAUUUCGAUAUCAAAAGCUCAAGAUAUUCCCGUUUGAAUAUUUAGUGUGAAAGCAGAGAUUCCAGCUGCGAAAAGGAUUUUUGCCCGAGUUCAGGGACACAAUUGCAAGAUGCUUAAAGUUUGAAGAUUAAUUGCAAGCCAAUUUAAAGCCCUUUUUUGGACCAAGGACCAAAUGGAAAAGGUGCAAAAAUAAGGAAGUUGAGUGAAGAUAAAAUUAGAAGGAAUUUUGCCGGAGGAAGAAAUUGAAGAACCACGUUUUUAUCUGUACAGCUAGCUUGAUUUUUCUUUCCUUUUAUCUGCAAUUUCCUGUUUGGUUUCCAUGUUUAUCUCGCUUGAAUGGAAAGUUGCAGACCACGUGUUUAUUGCCUCAUUACAAAGGGAGCAGCUAGUGCUUCAUGGUCCCAGCUAUGGAAGUAAAGAAAGAAGUCGCACCAUCCUCUAAAAUGCUAGAAAGAAAACAGAUAUGAUCACAAAAUCAGAAUCAAAAUAUUUUGGUUUUUUAUUUCUGCUCACCCAAGAUUACACCCUAGAGUUAAUGUAAUAUUUGUUUCCUAAAUAAAGUUGCGUUUAAGGUUAUAAGCCUCCUUUGCUGGGAGGAGAAAAAGGAUGAAAAAAAAAGAGGAGGACAGGAAAGAGGAGAGAAAAAAAGGGCGAGGAAUGAAUGGAAAAAAGAGAGAGCAGAACGCCACUGUCAAAAGAAGAUAAACAUAAAGGCAGGGGUGUGAACUCAACCAGUAUAACAUGUUUUCAUCGUCGUCUCCCUCAUCAUCUCCACAAAGAGCGUCAACAGAAGGAAAGAAAAGGAACAAAGAUCAUCAAUCGACGUGGAUUGUUUUCAUUGUCCCUAGAAGCAGUGACCACCGGCUGUGCGUCAAAGCUGCAGUAUCGUUGUCUUCAUCCAUCUCAGUUACCAGAGAGGGAGAGAAAGAAAACACAGAAAACGGGACAGAGGAGGAGAAAAAAAAGGGGAGAAAGUGCAAGGAAAAAAAAAAGAAAAAAGAAGAGAAACCAUAAACCAGCAGGGACUGCCUUCCGGUCUUCACUUUCAUUUUUUUUACAUAUAAAAUCUGCAGAACAGGGAAGAAGAAAGUGCAGAAAACCAAUGUUGAGAGAGGGAUGAAGAUUGCAGAGGUGAAAUUAAGAAGAAGAACGCCAACAGAGAAUAGGAGGAAAGAGCUAAAGCAGACAGCAGCACUAAUCGACUAGCCAGCAAGCCUUCAAACAUCAUCGUUGUCCUUUCGUUCCCAAGUCUGUUCUCUUCACCUCUCGCACCAUGCAUUUUCUUGCUAUAUGUUUGCACUAUUCAAGUGAAUUUUUAUUCACUUGAUCAGUAGCGUGGUCUCUUUGCAUGCAUUCCGCCUUGUUUAUUGAGAGGACUGCGCCUUUUUUUGUGUCCAACCGGGUCACUUGCUUGGGCAAGUGACCCUAGCGAACCUGUUGUUCUCUUUUAAAAAAAAAAAAAGAGAAAGAGAUUUAUGAAUUUCUGGCAUAUUUAUUUUAAGGUCUGAAUUUUUUUAUGUUAUAAAAAAAUAUCAAUCUUGUAUUUAGAAUACCAGGUUUUCGACGCAAUGUGACAAAUAUAUAUAUAUAUAUAUAAAAUGUUCUCUUAUAUGUUGCAUACGGUUAAUACCCUAACAUGUUUUGAACGCUUUUUUUUAUAUAAAAAAUAUUGGAAGUUUUGAAAAUGUUUUUUCACAUGAAUCUCUUAAACACAACAAAAAUUAUUUUCUUGCAUUUCUGGAUUUGACAACAUGUUUGUAAAACUCUAAAGAGUAUUGACCAAUAUUCCAAAACAAUAAAAAACAAAAAAACUUAUUUUAGGGGAAUUCAUAUAUUAUUCACCGUUAAUGUUUGGAUAAAAAAAUUCCAAAUGGAUGAAUAUCCAAAAUAUUAACGGGAAUAACUUGUUAUUAUUCACUGUUAAUAUUUGGAUAAUGAAACUCUAAGUGGUAAAUAUCCAAAAUAAUUUUAUAGGGAUAAUAAGUUAUCACACAUCCUUGAAAGAAGUCUCGAUUAUAAUCGAGGACAUUUCAAUUUUUUACUCCAUAGUUUACGAGCCGUGAGAGCAUAAAACAUUAAGGCAAAAAUAGGCUUUUAAAAUGCCUUAGAUUUCUAAAUAUUUGUCCCUCCUCCUUACAAUUUACGAGUCGCAAACUCGUGAAAUACUAAGGGAAAAAUGAGCUUUUUAAAGCACAUAGAAUCUCCUUGGAUUUCUAUCUUAAUAAAUUUAGUUUGAAUCAAACCUAGAAAAACUGAUGGGACUAGAAAACACCAACACCAUAACAAUUAUAAAGCAAACCAAACACCAAGAAACUUAUCUUAGGUAAGGCGUACUAGAGGGGUUAAUACCUUCCCUUUACGUGAUCAGUCUCUUUCCUUAGAAUCUAUGAAAGACCACUUAGGGUUCCUAGUGACCAAAAUACUAGUUGGCAAAUCCUUUACAUAAAAAACAAAAAAAAAACCUGAAAUCAAUCGUGGGUCACCACGACACCACACUCCAUCGUGAGAGUGCGACAAUAGCCACAAAACAAAUGAAAUUAUGAUGACGUUUUACAAUCCAGUCCUUUCUUUUUUUCAAAUCCCUCAACAAAAUCAAAUAACAUCCUAACAAAUGGUCUUCAAUUAACCCGUUAAAUUCUUGAAACAUUAAAUUGGGCCCCUCAAAUCAGACUUGCAAACUAAGGUCAGGACCCUUCUUGCGAUAGGAUUAUCUACUUUCACGUUUAGAUAUUCAAACAGGAAUAUCUUGAGCUCCUGAUAUCGAAAUCAAGUGAUUCAAAAUUCCAAAUUUAUCUACACGUCUAGGAUUACAACUUUGAUGAAGGAUUCGAAGUGAGAAAAAAUCGUUUUAAAGAACAGAAUCUGGUAGCAAUCUGGUUGGUCAAAAAGGGUCUCCUGAUCUAAUUCAGAAAAUUACAAUGCCAAGCAUCUCGAUAUGACAAAGAGUAUGACCUAAGAACAAAGACCAAUAAAAUUGUGACGGAAGCAGAGUCUUUAGUGCAAAACUCAUGUCAGAAUCCUUAUCGUGGCAGAAUUCUCUACUUUCACGUUAGAUAUUCAAACGGGAAUAUCAUGAGCUUUUGAUAUCGAAAUCAAGCGAUUCAAAAGCCAAAAUUCAUCUACGCAUAGAAGACUACAACUUUGAUAAAGUAUCCAAAGUGAGAUAAAAUCAUUUUGAAGAACAGAAUCUAGCUGCAAUCUGGUUGGUAAAAAAGGGUUUCCUGAUCUGAUUCAGGAAAAUAACAAUGUGGAGCAUCCAAAUCUAAUUAAGAGUCUUCCAUAAGAGCAAUGAGCCCUAGGACCCAAUAAAGGUGUAGGUCAAUUCUUCAACAUGUCAUGAGUGAUAAAAUAUAGCUAGGAUGAUCAGAUAUUAUAUGAAACCAAAUCAGAAUCAGAGCCUAAGUUGGAACAAAAAAUUGCGACAAUAGUAGAAUCAAUUUUUUUGUGUGCAAAUUCUGAGGGAUUUAUCCAACCUUAAAUAUCGUAUAAAAUAAAAUAAAAAUAAAUGAAUUUAGCAUUAUGAAGACUCAUAAUCAGUCUAAGAAACCUGAUGAUUUUUAGCAGCAAAGAGGGAGGAUAAAGAGGGCAAAAAAACAACUCAAACAGGAUUCGAAAAACAUUUAUUUCUUCUCCACUUUUAUCAAUUCGUUAACAAUCAUGCACUAAACUCUUUUAUUUGGUUCAAAAGACGUACACACCAUCUACAACACGUAAGGCCUAAAAAUGAGUAACAACAAUAGGCAUAUAGUGUGCUUGUUACGUACAAACUGACAUGGCUAAUAAGCUUUGUAAGGAAAAAAAAAGAAAGAUGAUUACAUGACAUCUAUAGCUUAGCAAAUAGGAAGAGGAGCACCAUUCCAUUCCUUCAAGCAUUCCAGCAAGGGAUCCAUCAACUUCCCUGUACAGAUAGCUGUGAAAACCUUGUCGAAAUCCUCGCCAGGCGAUUUAACCUUCUCACCUGUUAGCAAACUAGUUCCCAAUUCUUCCCUCACAAACUUAUACAGGGGGUAUGACCUGCAUUCGUUGAUCCUGUUUGGAACAGCUGGAUUUCCAUUCUCAACUUCAAGUCUAGCACUCUCAACCUCUUUAGGCAAAAGGGUCUUGAGUUCUUCCUCAAAAGAUCCGAUCUUUUGGAAAAUCGAAGUGGUUGAAUUCCUUUCCUUUUCGCCAUUCACCAAGGCAUGCUCGACUAGUACUUGCCUUAGCUUUUGCAUUAAUGGAUAGGUUGCACUACAAGGAUCGUCAAUGUACGCAAAGACAUGUUCUGUGUCAACAAUCUUUAGCAAGUCUUUUUCGCAUAAUCUUGAAGGGUGAAGCUCGCCAUUGAAGCCCAUUGUCAAGACUCUCUUGGCAACUUGGCUCACAGUGUUCUUGACUGUGUUCUUCAGGUUCUCCUCUAUAUGCCUCAAGUCAACGGCCUGGCAUAGACCAACCAAGAAAGUGGUAGACAUGAGCUUCAAUAUGUCAACAGCUUCAGCUGUUUUUCUUGAAGAAAUCAAGCCCAGGGAGUUGACAUCUUGGUUGUGUUGCUCAGCACUCUGAACAUGAUUGGUGACAGGAUUGGCAAGGAAUUGGAGCUCCGAGCAGUAAGAUGCCAUGGCAAUUUCGGCACCUUUGAACCCGUAAUCCAAGCUUGGAUUGCGGCCACCAGUGAGGUUUGAAGGCAAUCCAUUGUUGUAAAAGUCGUUAACAAGUUCAGAGAAUUGUGCGAACAUGAGUUUGCCAAUUGAUGCAAUGGCCAAACGAGUGUUGUCCAUUGAAACACCAAUAGGGGUCCCCUGGAAAUUCCCUCCUUGUAGAGCCUUACUCCUCGACACGUCAAUCAAAGGAUUGUCAUUGACAGAGUUGAUUUCUCGUUCGAUCAUUUUCGUAGAUGUUCUAAUCACUUCGAUCAGAGGGCCUAGCCAUUGUGGAGAUGUUCGAAGAGCAUACCGGUCUUGUUUAGGUUUUUGUAGAGGAUCGAUCUCAUGUAACUUCUGAGCUUCUUUAACAUAGGCGCUGCCAUCUAAAAUAUGUUCCAUGAUGGCGGCAGCUUCAAUUUGGCCAGGAUGAUGCUUCAAUUUAUGUGUCAGGUGAUCAGUAAACUCAGGUUUUCCUUGCAUGACUUCAGCAAAGAUUGCUGACAAAACUUCUGAUAGGAUUGCCAACACAUUAGCCUCAAAAAGCACCAUUGAAGCUAGACCAGAACCCACUGCAGUACCAUUCACUAGUGCUAGACCCUCCUUCGGCUGCAACUUAAAAAAGCCGCCAUCAAUCCCAGCUUGUGUAAAGGCUUCAGCUGGGGUCAGGGGCUCUCCAUUGGGUCCAACUGCCUUUGAAUUAUGCCUGCCUGUCAAGAGCCCAGCAAUGUAGGCCAAUGGAACAAGGUCACCAGAGGCAGUGAUUGUUCCUCUGAGUGGUAAACAUGGGGUGAUGUUGUGGUUGAGCAGCUUGGUGAUGGCUUCCAGCAUCUCAAAUCUUAUGCCUGAAUAACCUUGAAGCAGGGUGUUGGUUCUGACCAACAUAGCUGCCCUGGUUGCUGAGCGAGGCAAUGUAUGGUUGGACUCCGUGCCAUUGCCGAAGAUACCAACAUUCAAGAACCUAGUGAAAUAAAAUCCAAUAAACCAUAUUAGCAACAACCUUAACCGGGAAAAAAAAAACAUUUAGUUGACAAGUUUAUUUGGUAAUAGGAUUUUUAAUUAGUUAUUCUUGCAAAAAGCUCAGCGAAGUGUGGGUGACAAUUUGUAACCAAAAAAUGUGAGUAGCAGCUAGGAUAUUUUCUUGCACUCUUUCUUAAGAUUAGCAAACCAUAAUUAACGAAGUAAAUUACAAGUAAUUAAUGAUGUUUACCGUCCGGGAGCUAGACUUUUCUCUUUGAAUAUUUUUUAUUUGAUGGUUAAAUAACACAAUCGAUCAUUAUUGCUAUAUAUGUCUUGGGAUGUUAAUUUGCCAGUAAUGAUCCAAAAUUCCAAUUAACUGAAAGAACCCUUUGCUUCCAUUGUUUUGAAAGGACCAAAAGAAGACAUUAAUCAUUGUUAAAACGUUUGUUACAUGAUUAGAUCAAUUUGUCUAUGUGAUUAAUUAUCCCCUAUUUAAAGUAACAAAUUAACAAUAUCAUGACAGCAAAAAAAAAAAAAUCCACGUGAUAUAUACAAUAAUGAAAAAGUUACCUUGCUAGCAGUUAAGAUACGAGUGAAGUAAAUUUGGGGACUUGUCAUGAGUUUGAUUACCUUAUAAGCUCCUUUUGAAGCUCUCCGCCUUGCUUGGUUUUUCUAUGUGAGGUUGCACCAAAACCAGCAGUAACAGCAUGACUGUUCUUGCUGUCCAUGACCCAGUCAUUGCUGGCUUUGACACCAGCUCGAGCCUCCUCUGACAGCUCCACCAUGACACCGACGUGACCGCUAGCAAUUGCAGUUACCUGGCCUAUGGUCAGGGUCUCACCUCCUAACUUGACCACAGGCUUCCUGUACUCCUCGAUCAUGCGCUUGACCUCAUCUAG
This 23430-nucleotide long non-coding RNA is filed under the name Populus tremula. RNAcentral's name for it is "long non-coding RNA (PTRE_LNC000410)". The record is from RNAcentral. Lineage: Eukaryota; Viridiplantae; Streptophyta; Magnoliopsida; Malpighiales; Salicaceae.